This 586-nucleotide ribosomal RNA is filed under the name uncultured bacterium. RNAcentral describes it as "bacterial SSU rRNA". It matches the Rfam family "Bacterial small subunit ribosomal RNA", at positions 338 to 916 of the family's 1533-position model. The record is from RNAcentral.
CCUACGGGAGGCAGCAGUGGGGAAUUUUGGACAAUGGGCGAAAGCCUGAUCCAGCAAUGCCGCGUGAGUGAAGAAGGCCUUCGGGUUGUAAAGCUCUUUUGUCAGGGAAGAAACGGUGAGAGCUAAUAUCUUUUGCUAAUGACGGUACCUGAAGAAUAAGCACCGGCUAACUACGUGCCAGCAGCCGCGGUAAUACGUAGGGUGCAAGCGUUAAUCGGAAUUACUGGGCGUAAAGCGUGCGCAGGCGGUUUUGUAAGUCUGAUGUGAAAUCCCCGGGCUCAACCUGGGAAUUGCAUUGGAGACUGCAAGGCUAGAAUCUGGCAGAGGGGGGUAGAAUUCCACGUGUAGCAGUGAAAUGCGUAGAUAUGUGGAGGAACACCGAUGGCGAAGGCAGCCCCCUGGGUCAAGAUUGACGCUCAUGCACGAAAGCGUGGGGAGCAAACAGGAUUAGAUACCCUGGUAGUCCACGCCCUAAACGAUGUCUACUAGUUGUCGGGUCUUAAUUGACUUGGUAACGCAGCUAACGCGUGAAGUAGACCGCCUGGGGAGUACGGUUCGCAAGAUUAAAACGUCAAAGGAUUGACGG